UCUGGUCUCUAGAGCGAGGUGGUACCAACUCUUCCCAUCCCGAACAGAGUCUUGAAACGCUUCAGCGCUGACAAUAGUUGGGGGUUCUCCCCCUGCAAAGAUAGGUCGAGGCCAGAA
RNAcentral lists this ribosomal RNA (117 nucleotides) under Minisyncoccota bacterium. The record is from RNAcentral. Lineage: Bacteria; Bacillati; Minisyncoccota.